UAUGUGAUCGUCUCUCGCAUAUCAAUAAGCGGAGGAAAAGAAACUAACAAGGAUUCCCCUAGUAACGGCGAGUGAAGCGGGAAGAGCUCAAAUUUGAAAUCUUAAAGGGUUUCCCUUUACGAAUUGUAGUUUAAAGAAGUGUUUUCUGUUGAGGUUUUGGUAAAAGUUCUUUGGAAUAGGACAUCAUAGAGGGUGAGAAUCCCGUAUUUGACCUUUACUUUCAACUUUGUGAUACACUUUCAAAGAGUCGGAUUGUUUGGGAAUGCAGUCCAAAAUGGGUGGUAAAUUUCAUCUAAAGCUAAAUAUUGGCGAGAGACCGAUAGCGAACAAGUACCGUGAGGGAAAGAUGAAAAGAACUUUGAAAAGAGAGUUAAACAGUACGUGAAAUUGUCAAAAGGGAGGCGUUUGACACCAGUGUUGUUUUUCUGAAAAUCAAUUAAAGAACUGUUUAUGCUAAGUUGUUUAGACUUUAUCAGCUAACUGUUUAGUUUUGAGCUUUUCUUUAAUGCACUUUUCAGUUAACAAGUCAACAUCAAUUUCUUUUGCUGUAAAAAAGCUUGAGGAAGGUGGCUUGAGAUUCGUCUUAAGUGUUUAUAGCCUCUUGCCUAUGCAGUCGGAGAGAUUGAGGUCUGCAGCGUAGAUCCUUCGGGGCUAAAUGCAUUUGUGCUAAGUUAUAGCAUUUUAUAGACAACUUGUUGACUAUGAUUUGUCUUGUAGCUUACUCGCUUAUGUUAUUUUACCUACGCUUAGGAUGUUGAGUCAUCACACAUCUCU
Molecule: ribosomal RNA, 774 nt
Filed under: uncultured Neocallimastigales
Lineage: Eukaryota; Fungi; Neocallimastigomycota; Neocallimastigomycetes; Neocallimastigales
Description: partial large subunit ribosomal RNA
Rfam family: Eukaryotic large subunit ribosomal RNA
Source: RNAcentral